CGUGGACAGUAACAAACUGUGCCGGCUGCGAAACCCAAAUGGGUUGGCUAUUUACAGCCACAAAAAAGAACUUGAAGCCGAAACGUUUUUGGGGAAUUCGGAGUUCCCAAGUUUCUGAUGACCUGCACUAGUAAGUCUAAUGACCUGCACUAGUAAGUCUAAUGUAUCUCAAACAUGUAAUUGCUUGCCUGAAUUUACUGUUACCAUGUAACGAUUUUGAUUUGUAUAGCUACAUGUUCCUAUCUGCAAAUUAAUAACGUUCCUCUGAAUCUACAUAAACGAUGUACC
Molecule: long non-coding RNA, 288 nt
Filed under: Malus domestica (apple)
Lineage: Eukaryota; Viridiplantae; Streptophyta; Magnoliopsida; Rosales; Rosaceae
Description: long non-coding RNA (MDOM_LNC007371)
Source: RNAcentral